Molecule: transfer RNA, 91 nt
Filed under: Candidatus Nealsonbacteria bacterium RIFCSPHIGHO2_01_FULL_38_55
Lineage: Bacteria; Candidatus Nealsoniibacteriota
Also listed under: 7 other names
Description: tRNA-Ser
Rfam family: tRNA
About the family: Transfer RNA (tRNA) molecules are approximately 80 nucleotides in length. Their secondary structure includes four short double-helical elements and three loops (D, anti-codon, and T loops).
Source: RNAcentral
GGAGGGGUACCGAAGUGGUCAUAACGGGGCGGUCCCGAAAACCGCUGUAGCUGAAAAGCUCACGUGGGUUCGAAUCCCACCCCCUCCGCCA